UUUCUCCCUUUUUUUUUGUUCUUUUGAUUUUGAUUUCUUUUGAUUUCUUUUGAUUUUUUUUUGAUUUUGCACCCUCCUCUUUUUUUUAAUGCCCCAGCUGGCUGUUCUGCUGAUCCUCGAGAUAUAGCUGAGUGAUCUUCUUUUCUUGCUCAAGAAGUCGGGAAAUCUCGUCAGGAAUCCCUUCAACAUCAUCUUCUUCCGCUUCGAAUACAGGGAAUUCAAAAUUGGGAGAUGACGUCGGAUCAUUAUGUUCAAUGGGUUUAAGAAACAACCUGCAUAAUGAUUUUGAGUAUAAAAAGCACUUUGAAAAUCAAACAAGACAAUCGUUAUGCAGAUGAAAGGAUUGCUUUU
Molecule: long non-coding RNA, 351 nt
Filed under: Lathyrus oleraceus (garden pea)
Lineage: Eukaryota; Viridiplantae; Streptophyta; Magnoliopsida; Fabales; Fabaceae
Description: Pisum sativum (pea) long non-coding RNA (PSAT_LNC032001)
Source: RNAcentral